Agelaius phoeniceus (red-winged blackbird) is the source of this 230-nucleotide long non-coding RNA. RefSeq lists it as uncharacterized. Lineage: Eukaryota; Metazoa; Chordata; Aves; Passeriformes; Icteridae. The record is from RefSeq and is a predicted model, not a curated record.
AUCCUCAGACACCUAUUAUGAUAAUCAAGAGUCACAAGAUUCCUCAUAUGAUAGUAAUCCCAAUGCCUGUGAUGAUAAUGACACUACCUACAGUGCCAAUGGUCAGCGUUCUGGUUGUGCAAAGAAGAAAGUUGUUGUUGCCCGAGACACAUCACAUGUUCUAAGCAGAAGGGCCUAUGAUGUACAGAAUGCCUCUUCUCCUUCAAAUAGCAGCCACUCUGACAUGCAGG